Molecule: transfer RNA, 65 nt
Filed under: Alloalcanivorax venustensis
Lineage: Bacteria; Pseudomonadati; Pseudomonadota; Gammaproteobacteria; Oceanospirillales; Alcanivoracaceae
Also listed under: 4 other names
Rfam family: tRNA
About the family: Transfer RNA (tRNA) molecules are approximately 80 nucleotides in length.
Source: RNAcentral
GCUGUAGCUCAGUUGGUAGAGCCCCGGAUUGUGACUCCGGUGGUCGUGGGUUCAAAUCCCAUCAG